AGCGAACGCUGGCGGCAGGCUUAACACAUGCAAGUCGAGCGGGCCCUUCGGGGUCAGCGGCAGACGGGUGAGUAACACGUGGGAACGUACCCUUUGGUUCGGAAUAACGCUGGGAAACUAGCGCUAAUACCGGAUACGCUCUUGUGGGGAAAGGCUUGCUGCCGAAGGAUCGGCCCGCGUCUGAUUAGCUAGUUGGUGGGGUAAUGGCCUACCAAGGCGACGAUCAGUAGCUGGUCUGAGAGGAUGAUCAGCCACACUGGGACUGAGACACGGCCCAGACUCCUACGGGAGGCAGCAGUGGGGAAUAUUGGACAAUGGGCGCAAGCCUGAUCCAGCCAUGCCGCGUGAGUGAUGAAGGCCUUAGGGUUGUAAAGCUCUUUUGUCCGGGACGAUAAUGACGGUACCGGAAGAAUAAGCCCCGGCUAACUUCGUG
Molecule: ribosomal RNA, 433 nt
Filed under: uncultured bacterium
Lineage: Bacteria
Description: partial 16S ribosomal RNA
Rfam family: Bacterial small subunit ribosomal RNA
Source: RNAcentral